Molecule: unclassified non-coding RNA, 269 nt
Filed under: uncultured fungus
Lineage: Eukaryota; Fungi
Description: partial contains 5.8S ribosomal RNA, internal transcribed spacer 2, and large subunit ribosomal RNA
Source: RNAcentral
AACGCACAUUGCGCCCUCUGGUAUUCCGGGGGGCAUGCCUGUCCGAGCGUCAUUGCAAACCCUCAAGCCCGGCUUGUGUGAUGGGUCCCGCGUCCGCCUCCCAGGGCGGACGGGCCCGAAAUGCAGUGGCGGCGUCGCGGUAAUCCGAUCAGCCAGAGCGUAUGGGGACAUCUCGUCACACGCUUCAGGUGCGGACCGGCGCCCGCCCGAGACCAAAUCUCACACCAAGGUUUGACCUCGGAUCAGGUAGGGAUACCCGCUGAACUUAA